RNAcentral lists this ribosomal RNA (1302 nucleotides) under Triticum aestivum (bread wheat). RNAcentral describes it as "partial small subunit ribosomal RNA". The record is from RNAcentral. Lineage: Eukaryota; Viridiplantae; Streptophyta; Magnoliopsida; Poales; Poaceae.
AUGAAAAAGAAGAUGAGGUUUUCCCACAUGAAAUCUUGGACCAUAUUGAGAGGAAAGUUACGGAUGAUGUUAACACGAAACUUACCAAACCGUUUUCUGCAAAGGAGGUUAGUGAUGCUUUUUUUUCAAAUUGGCCCGCUCAAAGCCCCGGGUGCUGAUGGAUUCCCAGCUCAUUUCUUCCAGAGGAAUUGGGAGGUACUGAGGGACGACAUUGUGAAAGGGGUACUGGGUUUUUUUGACACUGGAGUUCUCCCAGAUGGCCUGAACGAUACGGUAAUAGUUUUAAUCCCGAAAAGCAAGGACCCUCAGACCCUCAAAGACUACCGCCCGAUCAGCCCGUGCAACGUCCUCUACAAAGUAAUCUCCAAGUGCCUGGUUAAUCGGUUGCGGCCUCACUUAGAUGGAAUCAUAUCUGAGACACAAAGUGCUUUCGUCUCGGGAAGAUUGAUCACGGACAAUGCUGCCAUUGCUUUUGAGUGCUUCCACAAGAUUCAACACAGCAAGCAUCCGCAGAACACACAUUGCGCGUACAAGCUCGACCUAGCUAAGGCCUAUGAUAGGGUGGAUUGGGAGUUCCUAGAAGGCAUGCUACUGAAAACGGGUUUCAGUCAAAAGUGGAUAGGAUGGCUAAUGCAAUGCGUUAGGUCGGUCAGAUACUCGGUGCGAUGCAAUGGAGAGUUGCUUGAACCCUUCGUCGCAUCUCGAGGUUUGCGUCAAGGAGAUCCACUUAGCCCUUAUCUCUUCCUGUUUAUUGCGGAUGGUUUGGUUAAGCUCAUAAAUCUGGAAAUCUCACAAGGCAAUCUGUCGCCGCUAAAGAUUGCAAGAAGCAGCCCCGGUAUCUCUAACCUGCUCUUUGCGGAUGACAGCUUACUCUUCUUCAAAGCGACGCCAGAGCAAGCCCAUACCGUGAAAAGAAUCCUCUCCUCCUUCCAGAGGGCCACCGGACAGCUGCUUAGUGAGAGUAAGUGUUCGAUUCUUUUCAGUGAGGUGUGCCCUUUGAGUACAAGAGAGGACAUAAAAGCAAUUUUGGGGGUGGUAUCCACGGCUUUUGAAGGGAAGUACCUAGGCCUACCGACACCGGAGGGUAGAAUGAAAGACGAGUGCUUCCAGCCCAUCAUGGACAGGCUCAAGAAGAGGUGCACCGAUUGGUCGGAGAAAACCAUGUCAUAUGCGGCCAAAGAUGUCCAAGUGAAGUCAAUUGUACAAGCGCUGCCUUGCUACACUAUGGGAGUGUUUCUACUCUCGAUGGGUUUCUGUGAGAAGUACAAGAAGAUGAUUCGGGAUUUCUGGUGGGGGGGAUGA